Molecule: ribosomal RNA, 1169 nt
Filed under: uncultured bacterium
Lineage: Bacteria
Description: bacterial SSU rRNA
Rfam family: Bacterial small subunit ribosomal RNA
Source: RNAcentral
AGAGUUUGAUCAUGGCUCAGGAUGAACGCUGGCGGCGUGCUUAACACAUGCAAGUCGAACGAUGAUCCCAGCUUGCUGGGGGAUUAGUGGCGAACGGGUGAGUAACACGUGAGUAACCUGCCCUUAACUCUGGGAUAAGCCUGGGAAACUGGGUCUAAUACCGGAUAUGACUCCUCAUCGCAUGGUGGGGGGUGGAAAGCUUUAUUGUGGUUUUGGAUGGACUCGCGGCCUAUCAGCUUGUUGGUGAGGUAAUGGCUCACCAAGGCGACGACGGGUAGCCGGCCUGAGAGGGUGACCGGCCACACUGGGACUGAGACACGGCCCAGACUCCUACGGGAGGCAGCAGUGGGGAAUAUUGCACAAUGGGCGAAAGCCUGAUGCAGCGACGCCGCGUGAGGGAUGACGGCCUUCGGGUUGUAAACCUCUUUCAGUAGGGAAGAAGCGAAAGUGACGGUACCUGCAGAAGAAGCGCCGGCUAACUACGUGCCAGCAGCCGCGGUAAUACGUAGGGCGCAAGCGUUAUCCGGAAUUAUUGGGCGUAAAGAGCUCGUAGGCGGUUUGUCGCGUCUGCCGUGAAAGUUCGGGGCUCAACUCCGGAUCUGCGGUGAGUACGGGCAGACUAGAGUGAUGUAGGGGAGACUGGAAUUCCUGGUGUAGCGGUGAAAUGCGCAGAUAUCAGGAGGAACACCGAUGGCGAAGGCAGGUCUCUGGGCAUUAACUGACGCUGAGGAGCGAAAGCAUGGGGAGCGAACAGGAUUAGAUACCCUGGUAGUCCAUGCCGUAAACGUUGGGCACUAGGUGUGGGGGACAUUCCACGUUUUCCGCGCCGUAGCUAACGCAUUAAGUGCCCCGCCUGGGGAGUACGGCCGCAAGGCUAAAACUCAAAGGAAUUGACGGGGGCCCGCACAAGCGGCGGAGCAUGCGGAUUAAUUCGAUGCAACGCGAAGAACCUUACCAAAGGCUUGACAUGAACCGGGAAACACCUGGAAACAGGUGCCCGCUUGCGGUCGGUUUACAGGUGGUGCAUGGUUGUCGUCAGCUCGUGUCGUGAGAUGUUGGGGUAAGUCCCCGCACGAGGCGCAACCCUCGUUCUAUGUUGCCAGCCGCGAUAUGGCGGGGACUCAUAGGAGAACUGCCGGGUCCACCUCGGGAGGGAAGGGUGGGGGACG